UUAUUACAUCAUUUUCUUGAUAAUGAAACUUGAUUAAGGUUUAUUAAGUGUAGCAAUGUGGAAUGUGCAUUUGAGAAGGAAUGAAGAAACAAUUUUCAAAACUAACAAUCUUUGAGUAAUUUUAUGCAAAUAAUCAGGAGUCAACUGAUAAAUAUCUAUAAUGUUGUUUAUUAUUAAAAAAAAAAUAAGGAAGACAGCGAACAAAACCAAAGCUCUAAAUCAAUAUUUUAUUAGACAAACGUGAUACGACCGAAUUUUUUAAUAAGCCGAGUUGGGGUUUGAUGCGUCCUUGUCCUUGUAUGGAAGUAUCGUCGUUACACAGGAAAAAAAUAAAAAAUAAAAAUGGCGUGAGGAUAUCAUUGUCAAUUUACAAUACGGUCCAGCUCUUCUGGUAUACGGAUUCAAACAUUUCGCUCUCCAGCACUGCACCGUCGUCUGAGCUAAAAUUUGAUAAAAAUAUACUGCCAAUAAAUAUUAUUAUGUCAGGCUUUAAUUUUUCAAUCGUGAUUUUUUCUGUCCCAAGAACGGACGAAUUCAGACAGCUAUUGAUGUAGCUGCAUGCCACCUGUACGGUGGACCGCUGUGGUAAUCAUUUCAAUUCAUAUUUUCCGAUUGGUUUGUUAAUUUCUCUGUACCCGCUACUGAGGACAAUACUGAAUUAUUUUGUGAUAUGAAAAUUUCUUCAUAAUUUUCCGAAAUAGUUCAUAAUUUCUGAGUGUUUUAAACUUCUACCUCAAUUAUAAUUGUAUAGUAUUAUUACAAUAUUGAAUUAUUUUGUGAUAUGAAAAUUUCUUCAUAAUUUUUUUGGAACUUGAGAAAGUGAUGUGGCAUCACCAUUUCUCAUCUUUGUAUGUUCUU
This 858-nucleotide long non-coding RNA is filed under the name Citrus x clementina. RNAcentral describes it as "Citrus clementina (C. clementina) long non-coding RNA (CCLE_LNC006860)". Lineage: Eukaryota; Viridiplantae; Streptophyta; Magnoliopsida; Sapindales; Rutaceae. The record is from RNAcentral.